RNAcentral lists this long non-coding RNA (1742 nucleotides) under Glycine max (soybean). Its description in RNAcentral is "long non-coding RNA (GMAX_LNC000080)". Lineage: Eukaryota; Viridiplantae; Streptophyta; Magnoliopsida; Fabales; Fabaceae. The record is from RNAcentral.
UUUUCAUUAUUCAGAGCUUUGGUUUUAGGUUUUCACGUUUUUUUGUUCCCUUGUUACAAUUUUCGUUCUUAAUGCAAAUUUCCGUUUUCUGCUUCUAAUUUCGAGUUCAUUCUUGCUUCUUCUUCUUCUACUUUCAUUCACGUUUCUGUUCAUUUACGUUCUUGUUCAUUUACGUUUCUGCUUCAUGUUUCAUUUGCGUUUUCUGUUUGAAUCCAUGGAAGGCUAGAUUUUCUGUAUGCCGAUUUUUACCUGUAGCCCUGAAAUUAGCACCUUUGCUCUUGGAUUUCUUCUUCUUAGAUUUAGACACCAUACGGAUGAAAGGAACUCCUUAGGCCUUAGAGGCAUAUAAGACUUCCACUUCAUCCUCAACAUCAUCCACCCAUAACCUAGAUACCAAAUUCAUAUACUGUUUGAUAGGACCAGUCCAAAGAUUCGCAUAAGAAUUUACGGCCGAUUUUAGGGAGGUUCUUUUAGCAACAGGGGAGAGUUCUUGUUGUUGAAAGUCCUCUCUGACUGCGCUACCUCCAGGGAUUCUCCAACAAAGUUGUUCGAGCUUGCGUCACAAUCUAGGUCCUCAAGAAUGGGGUUAUUAACUUUUUGGGUGUUAGUCUUAGAGUUAGCAGUAGUUGUGCUUUUUCCUUUACCCUUUAGACAUGGGUCCAAUUGAGCAUAUGGUUUCAGGGACUUUGAUCAAGCAAUUUGGGGGCUUUUCAAGGUGUAGGAAAAUUACCUUCCAUCCAGCUGGACGACGACGAUAGGGCACAAGGUCUUGUUCUUUUGUUGUGGAGUUGCAACCUGAUCCUAUUGUUCUGCCUAGCACUUGCGCUUACAUAGUGCGACACCAUGACCUACUGUUUUACAAAAAAUCACUAAAGGGUGGAUUUUCUCAUAUUCUAUGUCCACCAACAUUCUGGUAAAAUGGCCAAAGAUUUAGUUUAAUUCUCGUUGCUACAUCAAUAUUAAUUGGUUUGCCAAUUCCACCGACUAUUUCAAACAGUACGUAGCUGAGGGCACUAGUAUUCUUGAGGUAAGUCAAGGAUACGAACCUAGCAUUGAACGCGUGACUGGAGGACGCUAUUGAGGUUGAAAUCAGGAGUCCACUGGAUAAGGCAGAGGAAGCCUGGCUGAAGGUUCUAGUUCCCUAUAGUAUGGAUGCUUAUAUCUUUUGGCGAGGCGAGGCUAAACUCAAAAUAGUCUCUUCGAAGCAGUAUUACUUUCCAAUGACAGAUGGGGCUCCACAGUUUGAGAAGCUUUUCCUUUAAGUCUUCAGUUUUGAGCAGGGUGACCCGGCCUUUAGGCAGAAUCAAUCUACCAUGGUGGUUGGUCCUACAAUUGUGGAUGCUCUACUAGUACUCCUCCACGGAGAUCUUAAUGGAGAAAGUAUCGCCCUUGAGGUAAGGCUUUGGUAGCUUACUAAUCACAAUGUCGCAUGAAUUGCUGAGGAUUUUAGCAAAAGAGGCUUUUUGCGAUUGGAGUUUUGAAGGAACGGGGAUUGUGGGUGACGAAGGGUCAAGAAGAAAGGUCCAUGGGAAAACGAUGUUGCGAUUGGUCAUGACGUUGGCUGCUUGCUAGGGGAACCCUAGCAGAGCGACAUCCAGUUAAAGUAGUCAAGGUUGUUGCUAGAAAAGCUUUGCACAAGCUUUUUAGGAAAACACACAGCAAGAUAAAGCAAGCAAGCAUCCACUUUUUAUACAAAGUUAGCUUAUUGUGGGUAUCUUACACAAGUAUUAAUGUCACAUUUA